RNAcentral lists this transfer RNA (87 nucleotides) under Clostridium sp. RNAcentral describes it as "tRNA-Leu". It matches the Rfam family "tRNA". Rfam says of the family: Transfer RNA (tRNA) molecules are approximately 80 nucleotides in length. Their secondary structure includes four short double-helical elements and three loops (D, anti-codon, and T loops). Further hydrogen bonds mediate the characteristic L-shaped molecular structure. tRNAs have two regions of fundamental functional importance: the anti-codon, which is responsible for specific mRNA codon recognition, and the 3' end, to which the tRNAs corresponding amino acid is attached (by aminoacyl-tRNA synthetases). tRNAs cope with the degeneracy of the genetic code in two manners: having more than one tRNA (with a specific anti-codon) for a particular amino acid; and 'wobble' base-pairing, i.e. permitting non-standard base-pairing at the 3rd anti-codon position. Lineage: Bacteria; Bacillati; Bacillota; Clostridia; Eubacteriales; Clostridiaceae. RNAcentral also lists the same sequence under 3 other names. The record is from RNAcentral.
GCCGAAGUGGUGGAACUGGCAGACGCGCUGGACUCAAAAUCCUGUGGUAGCAAUACCGUGCGGGUUCGAUUCCCGCCUUCGGCACCA